AAUAUUUCGAUCAACAGCACUCAUGGUAUAUGUCUUCCUUAAAAUCAGUAGCCUUUUGCAUCGAAUCCCGGUGGGUACUUCAGUCCUGGCAGCUAAGCAUUCGUUUAUCGGUGUUUGCCGAGAUUCAACCAGACAGAGUCUCUCGACGUCCUUGUUUCAAAUGAGAAGCAGCAAUCGUGCUGCAGCUUUUUCCUUCCAUCGGAUAUCCGCAAUGUGGCCUGGAAACCACCACGCAACCGCCAAUGCCGCCUGCGAAAAGAAUGGCAUAGAAAGACUGCCGGAGCCGAACCUCUAACCGCUGAGCAGACGCACCGGCCGGCAGACGAAAUCGCGUUGCAUCCUACGGAUGUCAACAAAACUGGAUAGUGGAUAAAAUCUUAGAAAGAGGCUCAUAUACCUGAAGGCUAUUCAUGUUGGACUCGUUGAGUAAAGGUAGUAGACUUCGUAGCCAGGAGAGAAUAAUUGGUGUCUUUGACAAAGGAAAGUUUUGGAAGUAAAUAUUUCGAACCAACUUCCAACAAGACUUGAUUCCCUUUUUAUACCGAUUCCUUGCGUCUUUAGAUACGACAUGGACUCUCGAUAGAUACAUGUAUGCUUUGAAAAACACACUGACCGUGAAAGUUGAUUGUCAACCGUCCUUGGAUUAUUUGGCGCGUGAACGGGAAAUGAUGACGACGAUAGUUGCGACUCGGAGAACGCUUGGGUUUGUUUGUUUUGUUGGGAUUAUUCUGCUGCAGUCAGUUUCAGGCUCUAAAUUAAUCAAAUGUUACGUAUGCGAGUCGGCCAACACGGAGAAAGCGUCGUGCGCUGAUGGCGAGCUGAGCGGAGCACCAACAAAAGAUUGCCAGACCACUUGUGCCAAGGUCACGAAUGCAACUACUAUAACGCGGAAAUGCACAUUGUGGAAGAAUUCAGAUGGAUGUGAGAAGGAAACUGAUGGCCAAAUCAAAUGUUUCUGCAACCUUAACUAUUGUAACUCAGCCUCCACUCUAACGAGUUAUCGUCUUCUUACCUGUAUAAGCGGUGCCUUAGUGAUUAUCAAACAACUUUUGUAAUGAAAUUUUUCUAUCAGUUUCACUCUUCUAAGUCCAGCGGCGGUAGAGACAGACUUUUGAAAACAGAUAUUUAUACAAACUUAGCAAAGCUAACAUUAGAACUGAAGAUUUGUAGCCGAUAUCAAUAGUAGGCCUCGAGCAGAUUUUACACCAGAUGGCAUUUUUCGCUAUAACUACGGCGGACACAUAUACAAAGUUAUACUGUCAACAAACGUACAGCGCAUGAACAUACAAGGCUAUAUUGCCGAAAGACAUACAAAGGUUAUCAUCAACCAGUGGCCUGGCCAUAGUAAUAUUUGAAUCUCUGAAAAAUCAGUGAACAAUAGUUUAGGACUGUUAAAAUGAUAGGACUCUAUUUACUUUACCACCGAGACUUAUCUUACAAAUAUAUGUUUACAAGGUCUUUAUGCCGAGGACAAAGCGUCUUAUUGUCUGACCAUUCACUGGAAUGACAUCAUCGUCACAUUUCUAAAGCUGAUCGCGGGUCGCGAGUUGCGUGAACUGCAUAACAUAAUCCCCUAAGGAAUGUUCGCGCUGAGGACCUGACAUCCUCGUGCGUGACUUCAUCGUUCUGUGGAAGUUUUUAAGAAACAAAUACAUGUUGUCCAAGUAUUAAUGUACUCAAUCUGUCCACUCUAAUUUUCUAAUUUGAUGCUGUAUUACAAAAUGGACGAUUUCUUCUCUGUUCUUCCCACAAAAAUUAAUAAA
This is a long non-coding RNA of Lineus longissimus, 1763 nucleotides long. RefSeq lists it as uncharacterized. Lineage: Eukaryota; Metazoa; Nemertea; Pilidiophora; Heteronemertea; Lineidae. The record is from RefSeq and is a predicted model, not a curated record. The transcript has 3 exons.